UCCCAAGCACCUCGACGAGAAGGUGGCCGCCCUCCACUUGGGCAAGCUUGGUGCCAGGCUGACCAAGCUCUCCAAGUCGCAGGCUGACUACAUCAGCGUUCCAGUUGAGGGUCCCUACAAGCCCGCGCACUACCGGUACUAGGCUGCCCAGCACGACUAGCGGCUGUGGCAUGAGAAGUGUCAACUUGAAGUUCGCCAUGACGACUCUGGAGUAUCCUGCUUUGUUUUCAUCAUCUUAUAUGCCGUCACUUAGGAGGAUUUGUUGUGGGGUUUAUGGUUUGAGACUGGUGAAGGGGAGGAAUGGGAAGCCGUUUGCUUUUGCCCAGAAAUAAUGGCGUAAUUGGGUGGAGUUGGGGAGGUGUGCUUUGGCAGAUACAGUUUUGUCUUGUUGACUCUACUUAUCUGAUAUCAUUUGCAAGCG
This 421-nucleotide unclassified non-coding RNA is filed under the name Hevea brasiliensis (rubber tree). Lineage: Eukaryota; Viridiplantae; Streptophyta; Magnoliopsida; Malpighiales; Euphorbiaceae. The record is from RNAcentral.